AGACGUCAAGUCAGCAUGGCCUUUAUGUCCGGGGCUACACACGUGCUACAAUGGCCGGUACAAACCGCCGCAAUCCCGCGAGGGGGAGCUAAUCGGAGAAAGCCGGUCUCAGUUCGGAUUGUAGGCUGCAACUCGCCUGCAUGAAGUCGGAAUCGCUAGUAAUCGCGGAUCAGCACGCCGCGGUGAAUACGUUCCCGGGCCUUGUACACACCGCCCGUCACAUCACGAAAGCUGGCUGUACUAGAAAUCGCUGAGCCAACCCGCAAGGGAGGCAGGCGCUUAAGGUAUGGUCAGUGAUUGGGGUGAAGUCGUAACAAGGUAACCGUAA
RNAcentral lists this ribosomal RNA (328 nucleotides) under uncultured bacterium. RNAcentral's name for it is "bacterial SSU rRNA". It matches the Rfam family "Bacterial small subunit ribosomal RNA", at positions 1180 to 1505 of the family's 1533-position model. The record is from RNAcentral.